RNAcentral lists this ribosomal RNA (21 nucleotides) under Symbiodinium sp. Its description in RNAcentral is "partial large ribosomal RNA subunit". Lineage: Eukaryota; Dinophyceae; Suessiales; Symbiodiniaceae. The record is from RNAcentral.
UAGCAUGAAGUCAGACAAGUG